AGUGAACGCUGGCGGUAGGCCUAACACAUGCAAGUCGAACGGCAGCACAGUAAGAGCUUGCUCUUACGGGUGGCGAGUGGCGGACGGGUGAGGAAUACAUCGGAAUCUACUUUUUCGUGGGGGAUAACGUAGGGAAACUUACGCUAAUACCGCAUACGACCUACGGGUGAAAGCAGGGGAUCUUCGGCCCUUGCGCGAUUGAAUGAGCCGAUGUCGGAUUAGCUAGUUGGCGGGGUAAAGGCCCACCAAGGCGACGAUCCGUAGCUGGUCUGAGAGGAUGAUCAGCCACACUGGAACUGAGACACGGUCCAGACUCCUACGGGAGGCAGCAGUGGGGAAUAUUGGACAAUGGGCGCAAGCCUGAUCCAGCCAUACCGCGUGGGUGAAGAAGGCCUUCGGGUUGUAAAGCCCUUUUGUUGGGAAAGAAAAGCAGCAGGUUAAUACCCCGCUGUUCUGACGGUACCAAAAGAAUAAGCACCGGCUAACUUCGU
This 491-nucleotide ribosomal RNA is filed under the name uncultured bacterium. Its description in RNAcentral is "partial 16S ribosomal RNA". It matches the Rfam family "Bacterial small subunit ribosomal RNA", at positions 29 to 506 of the family's 1533-position model. The record is from RNAcentral.